CCGAGUGUCUGAAGAAGGCCUUCGGGUUGUAAAGGACUUUUGUCCGGGAGGAAACCCUGAUCGUUAAUAGCGGUCGGGACUGACAGUACCGGAAGAAUAAGCACCGGCUAACUACGUGCCAGCAGCCGCGGUAAUACGUAGGGUGCAAGCGUUAAUCGGAAUUACUGGGCGUAAAGCGUGCGCAGGCGGUGAGAUAAGUCAGCUGUGAAAGCCCCGGGCUCAACCUGGGAACUGCGGCCGAAACUGUCUCGCUAGAGUACGUCAGAGGGGGGUGGAAUUCCACGU
RNAcentral lists this ribosomal RNA (285 nucleotides) under uncultured Microvirgula sp. Its description in RNAcentral is "partial 16S ribosomal RNA". It matches the Rfam family "Bacterial small subunit ribosomal RNA", at positions 397 to 674 of the family's 1533-position model. Lineage: Bacteria; Pseudomonadati; Pseudomonadota; Betaproteobacteria; Neisseriales; Aquaspirillaceae. The record is from RNAcentral.